Molecule: unclassified non-coding RNA, 326 nt
Organism: Mesocricetus auratus (golden hamster)
Lineage: Eukaryota; Metazoa; Chordata; Mammalia; Rodentia; Cricetidae
Gene: 7SK
Rfam family: 7SK RNA
About the family: 7SK was discovered as an abundant small nuclear RNA in the mid-70s but a possible function has only recently been suggested.
Source: Ensembl
GGAUGUGAGGAUGAUCUGGCCGCGACAUCUGUCACCCCAUUGAUCGCCAGGGUUGAUUCAGCUGAUCUGGCUGGCUAGGCGGGUGUCCCCUUCCUCCCUCACCGCUCCAUGUACAUCCCUCCCGAAGCUGUGAGCUUGGUCAAAGAGGACGACCUUCCCCAAAUAGAGGAGGACCAGUCUUCAAUCAAGGGUAUACGAGUAGCUGCACUCCCCUGCUAGAACCUCCAAACAAGCUCUCAACCCAGUUAUCUCCCAGCAGCCUAUGGGGAGUGUACCUGAUAGGACCUCAAAAGUACAAGGACAAAUGUUUUGUUGUGUUUUUUCUU